AAAACAUCAAGCUAAUCACUACUAAUUUUAAGAAAUUUAGGCAGAGUUUCCUUUAAAAAUAGAUAUACAGAAAAAUCUAAACCUGUUUACAAAACUUACAAUCAUCCAUACAUAUCCAAACCACCAAAAAAACCAUUCGAGGCAUACCCAAAAUCAUCAUAACCAAGUAUAAUUAGCUAACUUUACAAAAGGCAGAAUACAAAAAAUACAUACAUGCAGAAAAUAGAGAAACUAAGACCCUUUACUUUACAGCUUACACCAAGUAUAUUCUUUACAGAUUACAUCAUGUAUCCUUCAGUAUAUACCUGAAAAUAAUUGAAAUUUAAAAAUUAUCGAAAUAUGUGAGUAAAAAUAAAACAAUUAUAAAUCUGAAACAAAUGAGCACACAUAUUUGUAUGUAGGGGGAAUGAUUUAGAUUGAUUGCAGUAAGAAUUUAGAGAGAUUGUAACAAAUAAUCAAUUUUUUAAGGAAAAAUAUGGACUUACAAUCAAAUAAAGUUUUCUUAGUACUAUCUCAACGAACAGUUCAUUUGCUUAAUGAUUUAAAUCAUAAAUUUGUAUCGGUGGCAGUAUAAUGGUGUGUGAGUUUGAUUUGCGAGUGUUUGAUUGGUUACAGUUAUGUGUGUGUGUGUGUGUGUGUGCAUAUAUUAUGUGUCUGCGUGAGAAAUAGAGAAAUAUAGUCUUAGUAAAAGAGACUUUCAUACCUAGACAUGUCAGUAUUGGAUUGCAUAUCAUUUAACUCUCUUAAAUGUCUUUUUCAACCCUUUAAAUCUCCUCUUCAUCAAUAUCCUUAAUGUCCUCGUAUCAAUACGAACGUACUUUGCCCAAUGAGGAGAAUGCACAACCACCUAUAUUAUUUACAUAAACAAUAAAAGUAACUAUUUAUAUUAUAGGAAUAGUAAAGUUAUUUUGAUGCAGUGACAUAAAAGUAGAUUUACCUGAUUACGUCGACCCCAUCCACAAAGGUCUAUUGUAUAUAUUUUAUUGUUCUCGUUGACAAAUUCACUCUAAUCCUACAAAGAAUGAACCUCAUUGUAAAAUUAAAAGUUGAAAUGUUAAAAAGAUUACAUAAUUUAGUAGAAAUAAACUUGUUUAAAC
RNAcentral lists this long non-coding RNA (1097 nucleotides) under Panax ginseng (ginseng). Its description in RNAcentral is "long non-coding RNA (PGIN_LNC013168)". The record is from RNAcentral. Lineage: Eukaryota; Viridiplantae; Streptophyta; Magnoliopsida; Apiales; Araliaceae.